CACAGGGCUCCUCUUCCGGGGAGAUUCUCAAUUCCUCGCCUCUCAUUCUAAAUCUCUCAAAAUCUCCAUUCCUCAGAUCCGGCCAUUGCUCUACCAAAUUGAUAUUGCAUGUGAGUAAAUCGGGUCGCUCGAGCGCACAGUAGGUUGUGUUUCUAACUCAUCUUGCUCGUUUCCUUCUGUGCUGCUGCAUACCAUCGCCGUUGGCUCCCACUGAGCUGGAGCGAUGCGUCCGGUGGAGGCCGCUCCGCACACGCUGAGGAGCAUGAUUUAAUCGGGUCGCUGGAGCACAUGGUAGGCUGGUUUUCCAAUCCUCCCUCGGCCUCGUUUCCUCCUGCUACUGCUGCAUCCCUUCGUGCUUCGUUGUUAGGCCAUGUUUAGUUUCCACCAAAAUCCCAACUUUGACACUAUGCAAAAAGAAGAUUCCCCAUCACAUCAAACUUGCGAUACAUGCAUGGAGUACUAAAUGUAGAUGAAAUCAAAAACUAAUUGCACAGUUUUGUUGUACUUUGCGAGACGAAUCUUUUGAGCCUAAUUAGUCAAUUUUUGGACAAUAAUUCACAAAUACAAACGAAAUGCUACAGUUGCGCAUUUAUGACAAACUCCCAACUUUGACACUCCCAAAUUGGGAACUAAACAAGGCCUUACCUCCGAUGGAGCACACAGGAUGCGGGCCGCCGGAGGCCGCUAGCUCCUUCGCACGCGCCGCGACUGGAGGUUGCUUUCCUCCUCACAGAUUGGUGUAGGUUGCUUCUAUCCUUGCGGGUGGAGGAAUAACGG
RNAcentral lists this long non-coding RNA (777 nucleotides) under Setaria italica (foxtail millet). RNAcentral's name for it is "long non-coding RNA (SITA_LNC001721)". Lineage: Eukaryota; Viridiplantae; Streptophyta; Magnoliopsida; Poales; Poaceae. The record is from RNAcentral.